This 497-nucleotide ribosomal RNA is filed under the name uncultured bacterium. Its description in RNAcentral is "partial 16S ribosomal RNA". It matches the Rfam family "Bacterial small subunit ribosomal RNA", at positions 28 to 507 of the family's 1533-position model. The record is from RNAcentral.
GAUGAACGCUGGCGGCGUGCCUAAUACAUGCAAGUCGAGCGAACAGACGAGGAGCUUGCUCCUCUGACGUUAGCGGCGGACGGGUGAGUAACACGUGGAUAACCUACCUAUAAGACUGGGAUAACUUCGGGAAACCGGAGCUAAUACCGGAUAAUAUAUUGAACCGCAUGGUUCAAUAGUUAAAGACGGUUUUGCUGUCACUUAUAGAUGGAUCCGCGCCGCAUUAGCUAGUUGGUAAGGUAACGGCUUACCAAGGCGACGAUGCGUAGCCGACCUGAGAGGGUGAUCGGCCAAAAUGGAACUGAGACACGGUCCAGACUCCUACGGGAGGCAGCAGUAGGGAAUCUUCCGCAAUGGGCGAAAGCCUGACGGAGCAACGCCGCGUGAGUGAUGAAGGUCUUCGGAUCGUAAAACUCUGUUAUUAGGGAAGAACAAAUGUGUAAGUAACUAUGCACGUCUUGACGGUACCUAAUCAGAAAGCCACGGCUAACUACGUG